This 256-nucleotide ribosomal RNA is filed under the name uncultured Gardnerella sp. RNAcentral describes it as "partial 16S ribosomal RNA". It matches the Rfam family "Bacterial small subunit ribosomal RNA", at positions 100 to 347 of the family's 1533-position model. Lineage: Bacteria; Bacillati; Actinomycetota; Actinomycetes; Bifidobacteriales; Bifidobacteriaceae. The record is from RNAcentral.
CGGAACAGGUGAGUAAUGCGUGACCAACCUGCCCCAUGCUCCAGAAUAGCUCUUGGAAACGGGUGGUAAUGCUGGAUGCUCCAACUUGACGCAUGUCUUGUUGGGAAAGUGUUUAGUGGCAUGGGAUGGGGUCGCGUCCUAUCAGCUUGUAGGCGGGGUAAUGGCCCACCUAGGCUUCGACGGGUAGCCGGCCUGAGAGGGCGGACGGCCACAUUGGGACUGAGAUACGGCCCAGACUCCUACGGGAGGAGCAGAA